GAUGAACGCUGGCGGCGUGCCUAAUACAUGCAAGUCGAGCGAACAGACGAGGAGCUUGCUCCUCUGACGUUAGCGGCGGACGGGUGAGUAACACGUGGAUAACCUACCUAUAAGACUGGGAUAACUUCGGGAAACCGGAGCUAAUACCGGAUAAUAUAUUGAACCGCAUGGUUCAAUAGUGAAAGACGGUUUUGCUGUCACUUAUAGAUGGAUCCGCGCCGCAUUGGCUAGUUGGUAAGGUAACGGCUUACCAAGGCGACGAUGCGUAGCCGACCUGAGAGGGUGAUCGGCCACACUGGAACUGAGACACGGUCCAGACUCCUACGGGAGGCAGCAGUAGGGAAUCUUCCGCAAUGGGCGAAAGCCUGACGGAGCAACGCCGCGUGAGUGAUGAAGGUCUUCGGAUCGUAAAACUCUGUAAUUAGGGAAGAACAAAUGUGUAAGUAACUAUGCACGUCUUGACGGUACCUAAUCAGAAAGCCACGGCUAACUACGUG
Molecule: ribosomal RNA, 497 nt
Filed under: uncultured bacterium
Lineage: Bacteria
Description: partial 16S ribosomal RNA
Rfam family: Bacterial small subunit ribosomal RNA
Source: RNAcentral